RNAcentral lists this ribosomal RNA (468 nucleotides) under uncultured bacterium. RNAcentral's name for it is "partial 16S ribosomal RNA". It matches the Rfam family "Bacterial small subunit ribosomal RNA", at positions 28 to 507 of the family's 1533-position model. The record is from RNAcentral.
GACGAACGCUGGCGGCGUGCUUAACACAUGCAAGUCGAACGGAAAGGCCCUGCUUUUGUGGGGUGCUCGAGUGGCGAACGGGUGAGUAACACGUGAGUAGCCUGCCCUUGACUUUGGGAUAACUUCAGGAAACUGGGGCUAAUACCGGAUAGGAGCUCCUGCUGCAUGGUGGGGGUUGGAAAGUUUCGGCGGUUGGGGAUGGACUCGCGGCUUAUCAGCUUGUUGGUGGGGUAGUGGCUUACCAAGGCUUUGACGGGUAGCCGGCCUGAGAGGGUGACCGGCCACAUUGGGACUGAGAUACGGCCCAGACUCCUACGGGAGGCAGCAGUGGGGAAUAUUGCACAAUGGGCGGAAGCCUGAUGCAGCAACGCCGCGUGCGGGAUGACGGCCUUCGGGUUGUAAACCGCUUUCGCCUGUGACGAAGCGUGAGUGACGGUAAUGGGUAAAGAAGCACCAGCUAACUACGUG